GCGGGCGUGGUGGAAUUGGUAGACACGCAAGAUUUAGGUUCUUGUGGUUAGCGCUGUGGGGGUUCGAGUCCCUUCGCCCGCACCA
This 85-nucleotide transfer RNA is filed under the name Holosporaceae bacterium. RNAcentral's name for it is "tRNA-Leu". It matches the Rfam family "tRNA". Rfam says of the family: Transfer RNA (tRNA) molecules are approximately 80 nucleotides in length. Their secondary structure includes four short double-helical elements and three loops (D, anti-codon, and T loops). Lineage: Bacteria; Pseudomonadati; Pseudomonadota; Alphaproteobacteria; Holosporales; Holosporaceae. The record is from RNAcentral.